Molecule: ribosomal RNA, 261 nt
Filed under: uncultured bacterium
Lineage: Bacteria
Description: partial 16S ribosomal RNA
Rfam family: Bacterial small subunit ribosomal RNA
Source: RNAcentral
CCACGCUGUAAACGAUGGAUACUAGGUGUGGGGGGUCUGACCCCCUCCGUGCCGCAGUUAACACAAUAAGUAUCCCACCUGGGGAGUACGAUCGCAAGGUUGAAACUCAAAGGAAUUGACGGGGGCCCGCACAAGCGGUGGAGUAUGUGGUUUAAUUCGAAGCAACGCGAAGAACCUUACCAGGGCUUGACAUCCUACUAACGAAGUAGAGAUACAUUAGGUGCCCUUCGGGGAAAGUAGAGACAGGUGGUGCAUGGUUGU